GAUGAACGCUGGCGGCGUGCCUAAUACAUGCAAGUCGAGCGAACGGACGAGAAGCUUGCUUCUCUGAUGUUAGCGGCGGACGGGUGAGUAACACGUGGAUAACCUACCUAUAAGACUGGGAUAACUUCGGGAAACCGGAGCUAAUACCGGAUGAUAUUUUGAACCGCAUGGUUCAAAAGUGAAAGACGGUCUUGCUGUCACUUAUAGAUGGAUCCGCGCUGCAUUAGCUAGUUGGUAAGGUAACGGCUUACCAAGGCAACGAUGCAUAGCCGACCUGAGAGGGUGAUCGGCCACACGGGAACUGAGACACGGUCCAGACUCCUACGGGAGGCAGCAGUAGGGAAUCUUCCGCAAUGGGCGAAAGCCUGACGGAGCAACCCCGCGUGAGUGAUGAAGGUCUUCGGAUCGUAAUACUCUGUUAUUAGGGAAGAACAUAUGUGUAAGUAACUGUGCACAUCUUGACGGUACCUAAUCAGAAAGCCACGGCUAACUACGUG
This 497-nucleotide ribosomal RNA is filed under the name uncultured bacterium. Its description in RNAcentral is "partial 16S ribosomal RNA". It matches the Rfam family "Bacterial small subunit ribosomal RNA", at positions 28 to 507 of the family's 1533-position model. The record is from RNAcentral.